AGGGAACACACCUGUGACAGUUGACCCCAACUGACCAAAGGGAUAUUCCAUGCCAUAUGACAUUGUGCUCAUCAAUAAAACUGAGAAGGAAAGAAGUGGAA
Molecule: long non-coding RNA, 101 nt
Organism: Tyto alba (common barn owl)
Lineage: Eukaryota; Metazoa; Chordata; Aves; Strigiformes; Tytonidae
Exons: 3
Source: RefSeq, a predicted model, not a curated record